Molecule: long non-coding RNA, 357 nt
Organism: Armigeres subalbatus
Lineage: Eukaryota; Metazoa; Arthropoda; Insecta; Diptera; Culicidae
Exons: 2
Source: RefSeq, a predicted model, not a curated record
GCUGCGGAGGACGACGUUGUUGUGCAAAUGCACAAUCGAGUUUCAGACAUAGUAAUUAAUUUCCACUCCGGGAGGCUUAAUACCCUGAACAUAGGCAAUUAACUUUGAAUGUACUGAGCUUAUUGUAUUUAGAAAGGACAUGAUGUAACGAAGCAAUAUCUUGUGGUUUUUGGUGGAAUGGUCCAGGCAGAUAUUUCCUCCGCCGCGAAAUGGAGGAAGCUGCGCAGCUAUGGGAAAAAGCUCGGCAAGAAGCUCUAUUUUCAACGAGAUAUUUCUUUAAACAUUUAUAAUAAUAAACACAAUAUGUUUAAUAAAUAAUCGAAUUACUUUGCAACCAAGGUAGAAAUUACAACAUAA